CAGCACCUCAAGUGGUCAGGAUGAUUAUUGGGCCUAAAGCAUCCGUAGCCGGCUCUGUAAGUUUUCGGUUAAAUCUGUAUGCUCAACAUACAGGCUGCCGGGAAUACUGCAAAGCUAGGGAGUGGGAGAGGUAGACGGUACUCGGUAGGAAGGGGUAAAAUCCUUUGAUCUAUUGAUGACCACCUGUGGCGAAGGCGGUCUGCCAGAACACGUCCGACGGUGAGGGAUGAAAGCUGGGGGAGCAAACCGGAUUAGAUACCCGAGUAGUCC
This 270-nucleotide ribosomal RNA is filed under the name uncultured archaeon. RNAcentral's name for it is "partial 16S ribosomal RNA". It matches the Rfam family "Archaeal small subunit ribosomal RNA", at positions 477 to 747 of the family's 1478-position model. The record is from RNAcentral.